GUAGGGAAUAUUGGACAAUGGGGGCAACCCUGAUCCAGCGACGCCGCGUGAGUGAUGAAGGCCUUCGGGUCGUAAAGCUCUGUUGCAGGGGAAGAACACAAUGAAGGUACCCUGUAAGAAAGGAUCGGCUAACUUCGUGCCAGCAGCCGCGGUAAGACGAGGGCUCCUAGCGUUGUUCGGAAUCAUUGGGCGUAAAGCGGAUGUAGGUGGCUAUGUAAGUCAGAUGUGAAAGCCUGGGGCUCAACCCCAGAAGUGCAUUUGAUACUGCGUAGCUUGAGUGUCGGAGAGGUUACUAGAAUUGUUGGUGUAGUGGUGAAAUACGUAGAUAUCAACAGGAAUACCGGAGGCGAAGGCGGGUAACUGGCCGAACACUGACACUGAGAUCCGAAAGCGUGGGGAUCAAACAGGAUUAGAAACCCCGGUAGUCC
RNAcentral lists this ribosomal RNA (428 nucleotides) under uncultured bacterium. Its description in RNAcentral is "bacterial SSU rRNA". It matches the Rfam family "Bacterial small subunit ribosomal RNA", at positions 354 to 796 of the family's 1533-position model. The record is from RNAcentral.